This 484-nucleotide ribosomal RNA is filed under the name uncultured bacterium. Its description in RNAcentral is "partial 16S ribosomal RNA". It matches the Rfam family "Bacterial small subunit ribosomal RNA", at positions 30 to 507 of the family's 1533-position model. The record is from RNAcentral.
AUUGAACGCUGGCGGCAGGCCUAACACAUGCAAGUCGAGCGGAUGAAGGGAGCUUGCUCCUGGAUUCAGCGGCGGACGGGUGAGUAAUGCCUAGGAAUCUGCCUGGUAGUGGGGGAUAACGUCCGGAAACGGGCGCUAAUACCGCAUACGUCCUGAGGGAGAAAGUGGGGGAUCUUCGGACCUCACGCUAUCAGAUGAGCCUAGGUCGGAUUAGCUAGUUGGUGGGGUAAAGGCCUACCAAGGCGACGAUCCGUAACUGGUCUGAGAGGAUGAUUGGUCACACUGGAACUGAGACACGGUCCAGACUCCUACGGGAGGCAGCAGUGGGGAAUAUUGGACAAUGGGCGAAAGCCUGAUCCAGCCAUGCCGCGUGUGUGAAGAAGGUCUUCGGAUUGUAAAGCACUUUAAGUUGGGAGGAAGGGCAGUAAGUUAAUACCUUGCUGUUUUGACGUUACCAACAGAAUAAGCACCGGCUAACUUCGUG